CCGGUUUCGAGGUAUAAAAGUUUUGAAAUGAAGCUAUCUCAUCACUAGUAAGAACAUUAUUGUGAGAAAAUCACAUCUUAGGAUUUACUGGAUUACUCUUAUAAGGUGAUCGAGAUGUUUGCAAAGGUACUUCUUCUAGCUUCACUGUCUGUUGCAAUGUUCUACAACGUCGCUAGUGAAGCUUCGGUGAAGCCAAUAUCCCAAAAAUCAGAACGACAAAUAGCUACUUCCCCACCUCUACUGCCUCCAAGCAUCGGUAGUGGAAUCGGAGGACUAGCUGGUAUCAUACCUGCAGUUUUACCCAUAAUUUUUAUACUCGGUAUUGGAGCUUUCUUACUUCCAGCAAUUGGUCUUCUGUUGUUCGGAAGCUCAGGCGGAUUUGGUGGAUUUUUUGACGGCUUCAGCAAGAAAAGAUCUUCAAACCUGGGAGUUGAUCAUCCUCUUUUCUCCACAGAAAAACUUAUUGAGCUGAUUCAAACAGUCACGAAAGCUUUGGAAGAAGCGUCAAAAGAAGGAUAAACUGAAUAUUUUUCACAUCUAAUGGUUCUGAAAUUAAGAUUUUGGAUCUUUUAAUGCACAAACCUAACAAAGUUGAAAAUAUGGAAUAUGGAAUUCACAACUAUGAAAAAAAACAUCGUACAAAGAUUAGAACUUCGUUACAGUCGAAUGAAGGAAAACGAAAGUUGUAUAAAUAAAUAUUUUCUCUAAA
Stegodyphus dumicola is the source of this 709-nucleotide long non-coding RNA. NCBI's taxonomy places the organism in Eukaryota, Metazoa, Arthropoda, Arachnida, Araneae, Eresidae. The record is from RefSeq and is a predicted model, not a curated record.